Molecule: ribosomal RNA, 400 nt
Filed under: uncultured bacterium
Lineage: Bacteria
Description: bacterial SSU rRNA
Rfam family: Bacterial small subunit ribosomal RNA
Source: RNAcentral
GGGGAAUAUUGGACAAUGGGCGAAAGCCUGAUCCAGCAAUUCCGCGUGAGCGAAGAAGGCCUUCGGGUUGUAAAGCUCUUUCGGCAGGGACGAUAAUGACGGUACCUGCAGAAGAAGCCCCGGCUAACUCCGUGCCAGCAGCCGCGGUAAUACGGAGGGGGCUAGCGUUGUUCGGAAUCACUGGGCGUAAAGCGUGCGUAGGCGGCUACUCAAGUCAGGGGUGAAAGCCUGGGGCUCAACCUCAGAAUUGCCUUUGAAACUAGGUAGCUUGAACACGGGAGAGGUAAGUGGAAUUCCGAGUGUAGAGGUGAAAUUCGUAGAUAUUCGGAAGAACACCAGUGGCGAAGGCGGCUUACUGGACCGUUGUUGACGCUGAGGCACGAAAGCGUGGGGAGCAAAC